Molecule: small RNA, 114 nt
Filed under: Marmota monax (woodchuck)
Lineage: Eukaryota; Metazoa; Chordata; Mammalia; Rodentia; Sciuridae
Source: RNAcentral
GCCAGGUGCAGUGGCAUGCACUUGUAGUCCCAGCACUUGGGAGGCUGAGGUGGGAAGAUCACUGGGGCCCCGGAUCAAGGCCAGCUUGGGCAACACAGUGAGACCCUGUCUCAA